AUGACGAAACCAAAGAUGAAUGGCGGGAUGGGGUUCCGGGAUAUGGAGCUGUUCAACCUUGCCUUGCUAGGGAAGCAUGGAUGGCGUCUGUUGACAGAGCCAAAUUCAUUAUGCUCCCGUGUUCUGAAAGGACGAUACUUCCCCUCCAACAAUUUUAUGCAGGCUACUAUGCCAAAGAGCUCUUCUGCUACUUGGCGAGCUAUAAUUGAGGGG
RNAcentral lists this ribosomal RNA (213 nucleotides) under Triticum aestivum (bread wheat). RNAcentral's name for it is "partial small subunit ribosomal RNA". The record is from RNAcentral. Lineage: Eukaryota; Viridiplantae; Streptophyta; Magnoliopsida; Poales; Poaceae.